This 394-nucleotide long non-coding RNA is filed under the name Musa acuminata (dwarf banana). RNAcentral describes it as "long non-coding RNA (MACU_LNC010298)". Lineage: Eukaryota; Viridiplantae; Streptophyta; Magnoliopsida; Zingiberales; Musaceae. The record is from RNAcentral.
UUUGAUGUUCUCUUUUUGACUUGGGGACAAUCAUUCUUGUAGUGUCCCGGCUUUUUGCAUUCAUAGCAAAUAACUUGGUCCUUCUUGGGUUCAAGUUUAUUUUUUGCGUCAUUCUUAAACUUGUUUCUUUUAAAGAAUUUUUUAAAUUUUCUUGUUAGAAGUGCCAAGUCAUCAUCACAGUCCUCAUCACUUGAGUUUUCUCUCAAGUGGCAUUCUGAAGUUUUAAGUGUCAUAUCCUUCCUGUUCUUUGGAAGGAUGUCUUCUUGCUCUUCAUGAGCUUUACAAGUCAUUUCGUAGGUCAUUAAUGACCCGAUUAGUUCUUCAAGAGGGAAGUUGCGUAGAUCUUUUGCCUCUUGAAUAGCAGUGACUUUAGGAUCCCAACUCUUAGGAAGGG